This 292-nucleotide ribosomal RNA is filed under the name uncultured bacterium. RNAcentral's name for it is "partial 16S ribosomal RNA". It matches the Rfam family "Bacterial small subunit ribosomal RNA", at positions 775 to 1067 of the family's 1533-position model. The record is from RNAcentral.
GGAUUAGAUACCCUGGUAGUCCACGCUGUAAACGAUGAGAACUAGCCGUUGGAUCGUUAAAGAUUUAGUGGCGCAGCUAACGCAAUAAGUUCUCCGCCUGGGGAGUACGGCCGCAAGGUUAAAACUCAAAUGAAUUGACGGGGGCCCGCACAAGCGGUGGAGCAUGUGGUUUAAUUCGAAGCAACGCGAAGAACCUUACCUACCCUUGACAUCCUGAGAAUUUUGUAGAGAUACGAAAGUGCCUUCGGGAGCUCAGUGACAGGUGCUGCAUGGCUGUCGUCAGCUCGUGCUG